This 184-nucleotide non-coding RNA is filed under the name Rivularia sp. T60_A2020_040. RNAcentral describes it as "6S RNA". It matches the Rfam family "6S / SsrS RNA". Rfam says of the family: E. coli 6S RNA was the first non coding RNA to be sequenced, but its function was unknown until recently. It consists of 184 nucleotides that fold into an extended hairpin structure with a large single-stranded internal bulge. The record is from RNAcentral. Lineage: Bacteria; Bacillati; Cyanobacteriota; Cyanophyceae; Nostocales; Rivulariaceae.
GUUGCACUACGACGUUGGUGACUGCCAUACAGUUUUGUGAUCUAUGACUUUUAUGAUAUGGGAACUGAAUAGUUUCGUGGCAGUAUACCGGGCUUGUACCCGGAAACUUUAAACGAUGUAAUUCGGUACCCCCCCUGGUUUAACCAGGUCAUAAACUUAGGUAAAACGGCGUUGCGGUGAACUA